AUCCUUUUGUAGCUCAUAAGUGUGAUGAUUGGGUGUGAGAUGAGCCUUCCUUAAACAUUGUUAUAAACCUUGUUAGCACAUUACCUGUCAUAUG
This is a small nucleolar RNA of Callithrix jacchus (white-tufted-ear marmoset), 94 nucleotides long. Lineage: Eukaryota; Metazoa; Chordata; Mammalia; Primates; Cebidae. The record is from Ensembl.